Molecule: microRNA precursor, 207 nt
Organism: Oryza sativa Indica Group (long-grained rice)
Lineage: Eukaryota; Viridiplantae; Streptophyta; Magnoliopsida; Poales; Poaceae
Rfam family: MIR812 microRNA precursor family
Source: Rfam
UUUAAGUGUAGCCAUAAAUUCCCAUGUUCUACUUUAAUCGUUUGUUUUAUUUAAUUUUUUUAUGAUUAGUAUUUUUAUUAUUAUUAGAUGAUAAAACAUUAGCAGUAAUUUAUGCAUGACUUAUGUUUUUUUAUUUUUUUUAAAAAAAAAUUAAAUAAAACGAACGGUUAAAGUUGGACAGGAAAAUAACUCAUGACUGUAUUUAAA